Molecule: ribosomal RNA, 461 nt
Filed under: uncultured bacterium
Lineage: Bacteria
Description: partial 16S ribosomal RNA
Rfam family: Bacterial small subunit ribosomal RNA
Source: RNAcentral
CCUACGGGUGGCUGCAGUGAGGAAUAUUGGUCAAUGGGCUUACGCCUGAACCAGCCAAGUCGCGUGAGGGAAGACUGCCCUAUGGGUUGUAAACCUCUUUUGUCAGGGAGCAACGCCGGCUACGUGUAGCCGGACUGAGAGUACCUGAAGAAAAAGAAUCGGCUACCUCCGUGCCAGCAGCCGCGUUAAUACGGAAGGUCCGGGCUUUAUCCGGAUUUUUUGGGGUUAAAGGGGGCGUAGGCGGGCUUUUAGUUCGGCUGUGAAAGUCCGCGGCCCAACCGGGGAAUUGCAGUUGAAAUUGGAGGCCGUGAGUGCACACAGGGAUGCCGGAAUUCAUGGUGUAGCGGUGAAAUGCGUAGAGAGCAUGAAGAACUCCGAUCGCGAAGGCAAGUGUCCGGGGUGCAACUGACGCUGAGGCUCGAAAGUGCGGGUAUCAAACAGGAUUAGAUACCCGAGUAGUC